Molecule: long non-coding RNA, 235 nt
Organism: Pipra filicauda (Wire-tailed manakin)
Lineage: Eukaryota; Metazoa; Chordata; Aves; Passeriformes; Pipridae
Exons: 2
Source: RefSeq, a predicted model, not a curated record
AUCAGGGAGUGCAGUAUUAUGCCCUACAACAUGAUGAUGAGUAAUUCAGGCAAAACCACCUGCAGAUGCUCCUUCUCUCAUUCUUGCUCCCCUCCCUUGGAAAUCUGUGGCAGCAUUUGAUUCAGACAAAGAGUCCUGCAAAACAUUGGGAAGAGCAGAUUCUUGGAUAGCAAAUGAGACAACUGCUCUCCUAUUUUUUUAAUGUCAUUUAAUAAAAUUUUCAGCAAAUGUUCAA